This is a non-coding RNA of Saprolegnia diclina VS20, 267 nucleotides long. It matches the Rfam family "RNase MRP". Rfam says of the family: RNase MRP is an enzymatically active ribonucleoprotein with two distinct roles in eukaryotes. In mitochondria it plays a direct role in the initiation of mitochondrial DNA replication. The record is from Rfam. Lineage: Eukaryota; Oomycota; Saprolegniomycetes; Saprolegniales; Saprolegniaceae.
GAACACGAUUUAGAAUUGCGAAGUCAAGCCGCCUGCCAAUGGCAAGCGAACGCUUGGGGAAAUUCCCCGGACCGUAGGGCAGCAAGUGCCGGCCAUAACGGCAGACCGCUUCUUUUGGACGCUGCGGAGAUGGCACUUCGGUGCCGGAGCACGUGCUGAUGAAGGAAGUCUGAUCGUCAUACCACAGUUAUGCAAUUGGCCCCUGGCAACGUCGACGUCGUGCGGCAGCCAGUGGGUUAACCCAACGGGGAUCACUCAUGUCGUGUU